This 1175-nucleotide long non-coding RNA is filed under the name Salmo salar (Atlantic salmon). RNAcentral's name for it is "lncRNA (ENSSSAG00000119355.1)". The record is from RNAcentral. Lineage: Eukaryota; Metazoa; Chordata; Actinopteri; Salmoniformes; Salmonidae.
CACCAUCCCUACAUAAGUGUUCUUCAGCGUUUCAACAACUCAGCAACUCUCACACUUCAAACUACUACAGAUCAAGCUGACCAACAGUCGCAGAAUGGGGAACACCAACACUGCCAGCCACCUCAACAACCAGAGCAAGAUGAACAUCCGCGCUUUCCUGUCUAAUGCCAAGCUAGAGAUCGACGCCUUCAUCAUCUCCAACGCUGCCGCUGGCAGCAGUGACACCUUGACCAAGCUGCAGCAGCAGCCCGGUGGCAAGAAGUUCAACUUCAGGAAAGACGUGCAGUGUGUCCGUGUGCUGGCCUUGCAGAGUCAAGAGCUGCCCUGGGUUGAUAACAAAUUUAUCUCCGUCUUUGUGGAGGACGAGAACGAUGAAAACAUAUGUUCCAGACAGAUUGUUCAGUGCAUGGCUUUGUCCUCUCCUGUGUCUUUCAUCUUAUAUGAUGUAUAGCUAUAGCAAUGAUUGAUCCCAUUGAAACUGUACUCUUUGGUUAAUAUCAUUAGAAGGUGCUCUGACCAGUUCCGACAUUGGCCAUUGUCUGGCAUUCAUUAAGGUGGUUUCCCUGAUUUUGAAUCUGUUAAUUGGAACAAACAUGCCAUUGAAAAAGAAGGCUUUACAAAUAUGUAUUUUUUUUUACACAUCUUAACAAGCUGUCAUACCAACACAGAACACACCACAAAACACCUCACAAACAUGUAAACGCACAUUUGUACAUGAACAUCUGAAUGCUGACUCAUCUGUCAGAGAAAUGUAACUAAAACUAUGUCACUUCUUUAGGGACUUUGGUAUCAUUGACAGCUUCUGAAAAACCUGUAUUCUUCUGUAUCCUUCAAAUAAAACUGUUAUAUGACUACAUGCUCUUGGGGAAUUCUUCAGUGGAUGAGCAAUGAGCACUGUGCUCUUCGUUAUUGGGUAGUGAAAGAAUGUUUUGCAUGUCUCUAUAUUGUCUCCCAGUUAAAGCGUGUCAUGUUACCCCUGUGUGAUAGGCCUUAUGUUCCUUCUAUGGUCGUCUGUUCCAGCUCAAAUCAGAGAGUUACGCUCUCCUCUGUCUAACCUUCUCCAUGGUCCAGCUCUGUGGCAAUUCAGAUUACAUGGUUUAACUCAUUCACACAGAUGCCUUUGUGAUGCUGCCCCUUCGAUCUUCAAUGACUUGGCAGAAAACAGAUAAGAAAAC